UCCUGCUGUAGAUAUUUGUCCCAGGCUAGA
Molecule: non-coding RNA, 30 nt
Filed under: Rattus norvegicus (Norway rat)
Lineage: Eukaryota; Metazoa; Chordata; Mammalia; Rodentia; Muridae
Source: RNAcentral